This 432-nucleotide ribosomal RNA is filed under the name uncultured bacterium. Its description in RNAcentral is "partial 16S ribosomal RNA". It matches the Rfam family "Bacterial small subunit ribosomal RNA", at positions 29 to 506 of the family's 1533-position model. The record is from RNAcentral.
AACGAACGCUGGCGGCAUGCCUAACACAUGCAAGUCGAACGAGACCUUCGGGUCUAGUGGCGCACGGGUGCGUAACGCGUGGGAACCUGCCCUUAGGUUCGGAAUAACUCCCCGAAAGGGGUGCUAAUACCGGAUAAUGUCUUCGGACCAAAGAUUUAUCGCCUUUGGAUGGGCCCGCGUUGGAUUAGCUAGUUGGUAGGGUAAAAGCCUACCAAGGCGACGAUCCAUAGCUGGUCUGAGAGGAUGAUCAGCCACACUGGGACUGAGACACGGCCCAGACUCCUACGGGAGGCAGGAGUGGGGAAUAUUGGACAAUGGGCGAAAGCCUGAUCCAGCAAUGCCGGGUGAGUGAUGAAGGCCUUAGGGUUGAAAAGCUCUUUUACCCGGGAUGAUAAUGACAGUACCGGGAGAAUAAGCCCCGGCUAACUCCGU